This 253-nucleotide ribosomal RNA is filed under the name uncultured bacterium. RNAcentral's name for it is "partial 16S ribosomal RNA". It matches the Rfam family "Bacterial small subunit ribosomal RNA", at positions 524 to 776 of the family's 1533-position model. The record is from RNAcentral.
UACGUAGGCAGCGAGCGUUGUUCGGAGUUACUGGGCGUAAAGAGUGCGUAGGCGGUUUUCUAAGUUUGGUGUGAAAUCUCCCGGCUUAACUGGGAGGGUGCGCCGAAGACUGGAAGGCUUGAGUAUGGGAGAGGUAAGCGGAAUUCCUGGUGUAGCGGUGAAAUGCGCAGAUAUCAGGAGGAACACCGGUGGCGAAGGCGGAUCUCUGGGCCUUACCUGACGCUGAGGCGCGAAAGCUAGGGGAGCGAACAGG